GCUAAGAGCUAAUAUUUUAAGAGCAUAUAUAUUCAAUAAUUAAUUCAGUGUCGAGUUGCAAUCUGUUGCUUGUUCUGUUUCGUUUGCUUGUCAUGCGAUUCUUCUCAAGUGAAAUAUGUAUGGAUAUAUAUAUGGCGGGAUAUGGAAACAUUAAGUUUUAGUUGGAAAAGCUGACCACAAAAGUUUGCCUGACUACCGAGUUCAGUCCAGAUAACCUUAAGUUCUUGAACACACAGAGAGCUUAGACAUUUGCUUGUCAAGUGAUUAAACUUUUAUUUGAUGGUGAUUAAUAACUGCUUGCUUUAUCUCUGAACCAUGUCAACGGAUGUCCCUGAAGCUCCUGAAGCUACAUGUUUGUGUGCUGGACAGGGUGCUAUACAAGCAAAAUUGCGACCUGGCAUUUGGAUUCCUGGUAUACGCUCACCACAUCUAUAUGAAGAAGUGUGGAAAGUUUCUGCUAAUCCAAUAGUUUGCUCAAAAGAUAUUUUACAAGCAGUGACAAAACUUCAUAGGCGGAGCCUUCGGGGAAAUGUUUUUACCAUAGAGUAUGUGGAAGAAAAAGCUGAAAGAAGUGAGAUUGAAAUUUUAGUAUAUGCUCGAUGUCGUAAAGUAUAUGUUAUACACUUGACCUUUGUAAAUGAGGAAACUGGUGGUUGCAUUGCGAAAGUCAGGUCUUUUUCUAGUGGACUUUUUGCUUCAUGGUUUCCUCUAAAUUUCUUAUUUAGCUCUAUUUUCUUUUUUAUUCCAUAUUAUGAUUUUGGCAGAAAUGCAAAUUGGAUAAGCAUGCUUAAGAGUCAAAUUACUAUACC
Non-coding RNA from Parasteatoda tepidariorum (common house spider), 809 nucleotides. NCBI's taxonomy places the organism in Eukaryota, Metazoa, Arthropoda, Arachnida, Araneae, Theridiidae. The record is from RefSeq and is a predicted model, not a curated record.